ACGACUUACAUGUAAGUCGUCCAAAUAUUCCCGCCUAAAAUUUUUAAAAAAAAUUAUUUUCCCGCUUAAAUAAUUUAAACCAGACGACUUACUUGUAAGUCGUCUGGAAAGUCUUCUAUUUUAGUUUCCCGCUAAAAAUAUUUAAUUUCCCGCUAAAAAUAUUAAACUCUUCUAGACGACUUCCAUGUAACAGUAAUCAAUUAUCUAUAGAUAGAUAACAAAAAAAAAAAUCCACGGCAUCGUAAACUACUUUACCACUUAAAUUAGAGUUGAAUAAGGCCUAAAAUUUAUAAUUGUCUGAAACUCAAAUAAUGUUGUGGUAGACACGUGUCGCGUCUGCAGCGAACGACUUUCCACGUGGUAAAGCAGGAGAGAUACCAACAUAUUUAUAUAUAUAUAUAUAUAUAUAUAUAUAUAUAGAUAGAUUGAUUAUCUGUAACUUAAUUCUGCCAUGUUUCACUCUCAGAUUUAUGUAUUUUCUUUAUGCUUUAAUUCAAUGUUUUUUGUUCUUUCUUUUUGUAAGUAAACAAUUUUGUGGUUGUCUCUCCUUUCUAUUGUAUUCUUUUUCAUUUGUUUGUUGUAAGAUUAAUAUUUUAAAAUGUUCAUGUAAUCUACGUUUGGAAACUCAAACAUAUGAGGUUUGACAAAAGAAAAAAGGAAACCCAAACAUCAUCGGACAGGAACUUUUGGGCGAGUUUUUUUUGCUUCAAAAUCGAAAAGAUCCAAGACUGGAUGUGUAUCGGUUCUAGUGGUGGUAUACCAAUGGGCGUCUCGAGUCAUCUUCUCAUUCUGUCUUUUUUAGUUUUGAAACACCAUUCUGUCUUCUUUACAAUGGAAUUUUUUGUAAUUAGUUAAUAGUUUGACCAACUUUCAAGAGGGAGAUAAAGAGAGAAGAGCCUUCCACUA
Brassica rapa (field mustard) is the source of this 906-nucleotide long non-coding RNA. RefSeq lists it as uncharacterized. NCBI's taxonomy places the organism in Eukaryota, Viridiplantae, Streptophyta, Magnoliopsida, Brassicales, Brassicaceae. The record is from RefSeq and is a predicted model, not a curated record.